RNAcentral lists this ribosomal RNA (216 nucleotides) under uncultured bacterium. Its description in RNAcentral is "partial 16S ribosomal RNA". It matches the Rfam family "Bacterial small subunit ribosomal RNA", at positions 1285 to 1500 of the family's 1533-position model. The record is from RNAcentral.
GUCUCAGUUCGGACUGUGGUCUGCAACUCGACCACACGAAGCUGGAAUCGCUAGUAAUCGCGAAUCAGCAUGUCGCGGUGAAUGCGUUCCCGGGUCUUGUACACACCGCCCGUCACACCAUGGGAGUCAGCAACGCCCGAAGUCAGUGACCUAACCGAAAGGAAGGAGCUGCCGAAGGCGGGGCAGGUAACUGGGGUGAAGUCGUAACAAGGUAUC